This 403-nucleotide ribosomal RNA is filed under the name uncultured bacterium. RNAcentral describes it as "partial 16S ribosomal RNA". It matches the Rfam family "Bacterial small subunit ribosomal RNA", at positions 28 to 526 of the family's 1533-position model. The record is from RNAcentral.
GACGAACGCUGGCGGCGUGCCUAAUACAUGCAAGUCGAACGCAGUGGGGACGGGUGAGUAACACGUGGGUAACCUCCCAUCAGAGGGGAUAACACUUGGAAACAGGCGCUAAAACGAUACUGAUGGAUGGACCCGCGGUGCAUUAGCUAGUGGGCGAGGUAACGGCUCACCAAGGCGACGAUGCAUAGCGGGCCUGAGAGGAUGAUCAGCCACACUGGAACUGAGACACGGCCCAGACUCCUACGGGAGGCAGCAGUAGGGAAUCUUCGACAAUGGACGAAAGUCUGACCGAGCAACGCCGCGUGAAUGAAGAAGGUUUUCGGGUCGUAAAGCUCUGUUGUUGGAGAGGCGGUAUCUAACCAUGAAGCCACGGCUAACUACGUGCCAGCAGCCGCGGUAAUAC